UACGGGGGGGGCAAGCGUUGUUCGGAAUUACUGGGCGUAAAGGGCUCGUAGGUGGCCAACUAAGUCAGACGUGAAAUCCCUCAGCUUAACUGGGGAACUGCGUCUGAUACUGGAUGGCUUGAGUUUGGGAGAGGGACGCGGAAUUCCAGGUGUAGCGGUGAAAUGCGUAGAUAUCUGGAGGAACACCGGUGGCGAAGGCGGCGUCCUGGACCAACACUGACACUGAUGAGCGAGAGCCAGGGGAGCAAACGGG
RNAcentral lists this ribosomal RNA (253 nucleotides) under uncultured bacterium. RNAcentral's name for it is "partial 16S ribosomal RNA". It matches the Rfam family "Bacterial small subunit ribosomal RNA", at positions 524 to 776 of the family's 1533-position model. The record is from RNAcentral.